GGUCACGAAGAAUUGAAAGCUAUUGAAUGUACACGGUACACCUAUGUGACAAUAUAGAAAAUGAUACGUCAAUAAUGUCCAAGAAACAAAACAUAUCGAGUACAAUUAAAAAUGGUGUUUGACAACAGCAAAGAUAGAGGCCUACAGAAUUGACACAGAUAUUAAAAGAAAGGAUAUGAAACCCAUAUUGCAUCCAGAAAUACAGUUUGAGACUUUUGAGUUAUUUUUUACGUAGACGGAAAUGGAAUCAUUACUGGUACAGUACUUGCUUGGAAUCUUGGUUGAACUCAAAUAGUUUGGUUUAGAAACCUUCAAUAAUAAUAUCCACAACUUAGUAAACAUUUUACAAGUGAUGAUUUGAAGGAACUUCUUUUUUCCUUUUUUCCCUUGGAGUUAUUAAAGACGCUUUGUUAUUCCUCAAUCAAAGUGGAUGAGAUUUCUACUGUCCAACAUUCUACUCAAAGUUAAACAGCUCUCUAUCAAAGGGAACCAAGUAAGAUUAAAAUAGAAUUGAAAAUACAGCUUUAUGUAUUUUGAAAACCACAAAGGACCCCAAAUGAUUGUCGAGCUCAUGCAAAAAAAGAAAAAACACUAUGUUGCUGAGGAAGAAUACCUUAGACCGUUGUUAAUUCUUGUAGGUAUCAAGGAUUUCCUGACAGUUUCGCUGACUCGAAGAUUUAGAGCAACUCC
This is a long non-coding RNA of Rhododendron vialii, 690 nucleotides long. RefSeq lists it as uncharacterized. NCBI's taxonomy places the organism in Eukaryota, Viridiplantae, Streptophyta, Magnoliopsida, Ericales, Ericaceae. The transcript is spliced from 2 exons. The record is from RefSeq and is a predicted model, not a curated record.